AGUCUUGUAACACUGUGUGUGUUUUAAGACAAAGUGUAUCUCCUGGUUCUGAAAAGAAUGACAGAGAAGAGAUUUUAAAAGACAAUGUAUUUAAAUCUUUCAGCAAUCAGAAUCUGGUGUGGAAAAAGCUAAGUCAAGAUUCUUAUGAAAUACAGUAACUCUCAGUGCUCUAGAUAACUCGCUUAGCCCUCUCCAGAGCAUCACCGAUAACAGUUUAGAAAAGACAGAGUGAAAUACAGACUUUGUGAAGUUCAUGAUGUACAUGAAUUUAGCUUCACUGAUGUUCUCAUCAUACAGAGUUCAGUCACAUUUACUACUUAUGAAACUAGUUUGAUGAAUUCAAUUACUGAAGGAAGUCUGGUUUUAAUUCUUAGAACUACUACUUCUUUCAAUUUAAAUUGAUUAAUAAUAAAAGUUACAGCAUUUCAGAGGAACAGCAUAUAAAUUAAUUAUAAACUGAAGCCCUAGCCUAUGGCAAUAAGAUACAAAGCUCUCCUUCAUGUCAGCUCAGAUGCAGCUUUCAAGUGUACUCUAAAGGGUGCAGUGAAGUCCAGACUAGGAGAGAAACAGAAGGCAGCAGUGGCAAGAGACAAGCAAAGGAAGAAAAAUGUGCAAGAAAAAGAGACAGAACUGCAGAAGGUAGAAGUGUGGCUGACAGCCCUAGAAUCCCCCAGGAUAGCAGUGAGCAGUGAAGAGAAUUACCUUGUGGAAAAGACACAUCUGGCAGGAAAGAUGUCAGCCACAGGAGGUAAAGAAAAAUGCAGGCAGGAGGAGAAACAAGUGAGCCACUCUGUGGACAGGAGUGCCUUGGGAGUAACACAACAUGGGUAAGAUGGCCAAUGACUUACAAAUGUGCACGCAACCCCCAAAUUAAUAUAACAUUUGAUUACCCCUAUCAAUCCAAAAUAGUUUCCUUGGAUGCCAAUCCAAGUGAACACUCAAAUUACCUCUUCAGUCACUGAAAGGCAUGGUUCAAGAGCAAGCACCUUACACCCUCACACCCAAGGGUAUUAACCAGUCAUUACCUCACAUUUCCCUUGUUUCCCUAAUGGGCCCUGUUUCAUCUCCUUACAUAUUAAAAGCUGCUUCACAGCACAUCCACUCGAGCAAUCUGUAACAGUGCACUUAACCAGUCAGCAGGGAUACUGAAUAAUGAGCCCAUCUGUACCGUCCUCCCAACCCUGUCCUGAAAGCAUCGGUAAGCUCAAGGAGCAGUAUUUUCAAGGUACCUCCAUCUAACCAAAUUUCUAAGUAACAAAGGAGUACUCUUAUUGUUAGGGUGCUUCUAGUGCAAUAUAUAAAAUGAGAUUUUUAGUGUUCAGCAAAUAAAAAGUAUUUCACUCAUUUUGUGUCAGCAGACAACUAAUAAUAAAAUGUGUACUUACAAUAACACCAUUAUAAAAGAAUGAAAAUUCUAAUUCUUUCCUCUUCUGUGCAAAACACUUGGUAAUCCAUAUAUAGUUGCACUCAGAUUAGAACAAAAAGAUAAAAUAACAAUUUGGUGGAGAACUUUUUAAUAGAAGGGUCCAAGACUAGGGACCUUCUGAGUUCAGCAACGAAAAAAGAAAAAAUAAAGAUAAAAGCAUUCCUCUUAUACUGUAACACCUUCCUUUUCUCUGUUCCUGCAAAAGGAAAUGCAGUUCUUGUUCACACAGCAGGAGUAGCUAGAGCUUUAUACAAAUUCAAUGUGCAUGAGUGAAAUCUAUCUUCUGUUCUGGAUCGAGCCACAGGUCAAACAAAUUUCUGACCAACAGGAAAUAAUAAGCACAACCAUAUUUUCACUUGCCUCAGUUCCUGCUAGGAUCAAAGCCAAGGCUGUCAAUCUUCAUUUAUCUUUAGAUAUUUAAAAUAUUUUCAGUAUCAUUCUGGAUUUUUUAAGCAGUUGGCACUGAGCAAUAACUGAGACUGUCCUACCUUACUAAACUCUGGCAGUAUUUUUUCCCAUCAGAUACUAGUAUGGCAAUCCCCUUCACGUCUAAUUCUUUGACAGCAAUUCAGUUUUAGAUGGCUUAUAAUAGGCUCUGCCUGAAUUCUGCCUGGAUUGAAUUGUUAUUGAUUGGUUCAAGGCAAUGGUGUAGAAGGGUGCAUUUCCAUGGCUUGUAUUUGGAUGGGUCAGAUCUUUUGACAGCUGAUUUUGUUAGAAAACCUGGGGUCAUUGUGGGCACUGAUUAUUACACACUCUUGCAUUUUUUCCACCACUGCAAGCUCAGCUUCUUACUCUACAAAAGACCCAAGUAAUUUUCUUUCUAAGGUCUAUACAGGGGUUCUUUCUUACAUGACAUUAUAAUCAGUCUUUCUUUGUAUAUAACUUUGCUUCAUAUUACUCUGAAACAGCACAUUAAGUGUACAAAAAUGUAACAUCUACUGUUUUAGUUUUUGAUCAUAUUACCCUGCCUGGGCCAAAUCCAGCCAUCAGUGAAGCUAAUGAUACUAUCCCGCAGGAGUAAGACUGAACCUGCCAGUGACCUUUUAAUGCUGCUUUUUCACAGAAGUUCCCAUGUGCCAAAAAGAUCAGGUCAAGAACUCCAAAAAAAAAAACCCAAUUUUACUGUGCAGGCAGCAGCUUACUGUAUUUUUUGGCUUCUUUUCAUCUUCAGUAUCAGUAUUGUUCUCAUUUGUUUGAGGGACAUAUGGCUCUACCUAAUCAAAGUAAUGCCCCCAAACCUCCCUGGAUUGCACAAUCUUAGGUUUUCAAAACAAAGAAGGAAGGAGGGGGGAAGAAAGAAAGGGAAAAAAAACCCAAACCUCCCUCUACUAUUUGUCUAAAAGAAUACUGUUCUAUUUGAAAUCAAAGCUGUCACAGACCAGUUUUAACAUCACUGAGCUCCAAUUCUGUUGUUGUCAGUCUUGAUGUAGAAAACACUAGCAAUUAUCAAACACAGUCUGAGUAUAUCAGCUGGGAAUUUUAAUCAAUCCACUGUAACAGAGCUUAAGAAGAAGAAAUUGGUUGCAGGCAACAGAUGCCUGGCAAUAGUUUCCUACCUCACCACAGCCUACUAGGCCGAGUGAAGGUUUCUUAUAAGCAUAUAUUUCCCCCGUCACUGCAUAUUCAGCUUCUCACUCCACAAAAGAUGUACUUCUCUGUGCUGCUGCGUAAGUCAAACCCAUUCAUGUUCCAUUUCUAUAGUUUAAAAUGCCAAAAUACACCAGGUCAACAAAAAUUUAUCUUUUUUACUUUGAAAGAUGAAAUGAUGUAAUUAGUGACAUUACACUUAUUUUAUUACUGUUGCUUUGAUUUAAAUUGUUAGUGGUUCAAACAUCUUAAUUUCAGAGUGCAUUAUAUAAUUGUUUUUGUUGCUUGUUUAUCGAUAUUUUUGUAUAAUUAGGAUGCAGUAAUUUACUUUAUAUCUCUUUAGUUUAAUUGAGUUAAUAAAGUCUGCUGAGAAGCAUGAUGUUCCACUCCCAGCUACUUGGCUGGAAAGCAGGGAGAAGAGCUUUCACUGGACAUAAGAAUUUCAAAGGGCAACUUUUCUUCCAGACCUGUAACUCUGCCAAAGUUAGCUUUCUGUUGAAAUGACACAGAUGCUUCCACAUUUUUGGGCUUUUGUUACUGCCCUUGUGAUGGAUCAUAUUAAAAAAUCUUUCCUGA
Neopsephotus bourkii (Bourke's parrot) is the source of this 3589-nucleotide long non-coding RNA. RefSeq lists it as uncharacterized. NCBI's taxonomy places the organism in Eukaryota, Metazoa, Chordata, Aves, Psittaciformes, Psittacidae. The transcript has 2 exons. The record is from RefSeq and is a predicted model, not a curated record.